UACGAAGGGGGCUAGCGUUGCUCGGAAUCACUGGGCGUAAAGCGCACGUAGGCGGACUCUUAAGUCGGUGGUGAAAUCCUGGAGCUCAACUCCAGAACUGCCUUCGAUACUGAGAGUCUUGAGUCCGGGAGAGGUGAGUGGAACUGCGAGUGUAGAGGUGAAAUUCGUAGAUAUUCGCAAGAACACCAGUGGCGAAGGCGGCUCACUGGACCACAACUGACGCUGAGGCGCGAAAGCUAGGGGAGCAAACAGG
RNAcentral lists this ribosomal RNA (253 nucleotides) under uncultured bacterium. RNAcentral describes it as "partial 16S ribosomal RNA". It matches the Rfam family "Bacterial small subunit ribosomal RNA", at positions 524 to 776 of the family's 1533-position model. The record is from RNAcentral.